CGGGAUGUGGCGCAGCCUGGUAGCGCGUUCGCUUGGGGUGCGAAAGGUCGUGAGUUCAAAUCUCGCCAUCCCGA
RNAcentral lists this transfer RNA (74 nucleotides) under Acidobacteriota bacterium. RNAcentral's name for it is "tRNA-Pro". It matches the Rfam family "tRNA". Rfam says of the family: Transfer RNA (tRNA) molecules are approximately 80 nucleotides in length. Their secondary structure includes four short double-helical elements and three loops (D, anti-codon, and T loops). The record is from RNAcentral. Lineage: Bacteria; Pseudomonadati; Acidobacteriota.